Molecule: long non-coding RNA, 105 nt
Organism: Gavialis gangeticus (Gharial)
Lineage: Eukaryota; Metazoa; Chordata; Crocodylia; Gavialidae
Exons: 3
Source: RefSeq, a predicted model, not a curated record
AGUCAAUCAAGUUUAACUAGGCCUCCCAUAGUGGGACUGGGGAAUGUAUGGCCUGAGAUGCCUAUUAAACUUUAUUUCUGCUUAGAGCUGUUUCUGUGUGUGUCU